UCCGGUUUGUCACCGGCAGUCCCAUUAGAGUGCUCAACUGAAUGUAGCAACUAAUGGCAAGGGUUGCGCUCGUUGCGGGACUUAACCCAACAUCUCACGACGCGAGCUGACGACAGCCAUGCAGCAUCUGUGGUGCACCCUCGAAGGUCACACGUUUCCGUGCGCUUGCAGCACCAUGUCAAGCCCAGGUAAGGUUCUUCGCGUUGCAUCGAAUUAAAGAACAUGCUCCGCUGCUUGUGCGGGCCCCCGUCAAUUCCUUUGAGUUUCGGUCUUGCGACCGUACUCCCCAGGCGGGGCGCUUAAUGCGUUAGCUGCGGCACAGGGAACCGGAGAGGCCCCCCACACCUAGCGCCCAACGUUUACAGCGUGGACUAC
RNAcentral lists this unclassified non-coding RNA (375 nucleotides) under uncultured Actinomycetes bacterium. RNAcentral's name for it is "uncultured actinobacterium contains 16S-23S intergenic spacer region". The record is from RNAcentral. Lineage: Bacteria; Bacillati; Actinomycetota; Actinomycetes.